This is a long non-coding RNA of Solenopsis invicta (red fire ant), 864 nucleotides long. RefSeq lists it as uncharacterized. The transcript is spliced from 2 exons. Lineage: Eukaryota; Metazoa; Arthropoda; Insecta; Hymenoptera; Formicidae. The record is from RefSeq and is a predicted model, not a curated record.
AAAGCGCCUGUCACGGACGUCAUGGUUUGCAGCGCGGUCUUCGACGACUCGGUGGACGCUGCGGAAGAUCGCAGGGGAACGCGAUUACGUAAUGUAAUGAAAUACAACUGAGGCGCAACGAUUCGCUGCAUCAGUGGCGCACACACAAUAGGUAGCGUGGAGAGUAUCGAUAAAAUUUUUAAAAAACUUUCGAGUGUGUUGAGAAGCACGUCCCUUGAGAGAAGGAACUGAUAAAGUGUUGCAAUAAACUGAUUACUACGUAUUGAAACACUUUUUUCUUAACUGCUUCCCGUUUUCAGUGACUAAUGACGGCUAGAAUUUUUUAAUUUUUUUAAUUUUUUACGCUGAAAAUGACUCCAAAGCGAACGAAUUCGUUUGUUCGUUCGUUCGUUCGUUUGUAAUUUAGAAAUGAAUAAAUGAUUUAAUAUUAAUACUCGUGAUUGCGCACGUUUAUCCGCACUGAUUCUAAUUAGCCUAUUUCCCAAUUAUUAAUUGCGUUCAAAUUUCGAGUGUCCGGAACUAAUUAAUUGUUACUUUUUCUCAAGUAGUAAAACACGCAAUAUUAAAUCGUAUUUUUUCUCAAGCUCCUUUUUUCCUACAAACAUAUUCUCAGUUUUCUAUUUUGAGAAAGAGCUCUUUCCGUCGUCUUAUCUCCAACUCUCUUCCCUUCUGCCAAGAAAAGUGCUCAUACGUACUGAUUAUGGUUGUCGGACUGUUGCUACAUUCCGUCUCGAUCUUUACUAUCGGCAGCGCGCUUUGUUGUUUUCUUUUGUUCUCAGUCAGCACUAAUCGCGCGCCGCCGAUAUCACCCAGAAGCUGUAUCGAGGGUGGAGGCGGUGGCAGAAGGAGUGGCGGCGGUGCAAC